Molecule: ribosomal RNA, 393 nt
Filed under: uncultured bacterium
Lineage: Bacteria
Description: partial 16S ribosomal RNA
Rfam family: Bacterial small subunit ribosomal RNA
Source: RNAcentral
AUACGGAGGAUGCGAGCGUUAUCCGGAUUUAUUGGGUUUAAAGGGUGCGUAGGCUGUGCGUUAAGUCAGGGGUGAAAUGCCGUCGCUCAACGACGGAGCUGCCCUUGAUACUGGCGUGCUGGAGUACGGAUGCCGUUGGAGGAAUGAGUGGUGUAGCGGUGAAAUGCUUAGAUAUCACUCAGAACACCGAUUGCGAAGGCAUCUGACGAAUCCGUCACUGACGCUGAGGCACGAAAGCGUGGGGAUAGAACAGGAUUAGAUACCCUGGUAUUCCACGCCGUAAACGAUGAUGACUAACCGUCGGCGAUAGACAGCCGGUGGCCGAGCGAAAGCGAUAAGUCAUCCACCUGGGGAGUACGUCGGCAACGAUGAAACUCAAAUGAAUUGACGGGG